Molecule: ribosomal RNA, 701 nt
Filed under: Achromobacter sp.
Lineage: Bacteria; Pseudomonadati; Pseudomonadota; Betaproteobacteria; Burkholderiales; Alcaligenaceae
Description: bacterial SSU rRNA
Rfam family: Bacterial small subunit ribosomal RNA
Source: RNAcentral
GUCUGGUGGCGAGUGGCGAACGGGUGAGUAAUGUAUCGGAACGUGCCUAGUAGCGGGGGAUAACUACGCGAAAGCGUAGCUAAUACCGCAUACGCCCUACGGGGGAAAGCAGGGGAUCGCAAGACCUUGCACUAUUAGAGCGGCCGAUAUCGGAUUAGCUAGUUGGUGGGGUAACGGCUCACCAAGGCGACGAUCCGUAGCUGGUUUGAGAGGACGACCAGCCACACUGGGACUGAGACACGGCCCAGACUCCUACGGGAGGCAGCAGUGGGGAAUUUUGGACAAUGGGGGAAACCCUGAUCCAGCCAUCCCGCGUGUGCGAUGAAGGCCUUCGGGUUGUAAAGCACUUUUGGCAGGAAAGAAACGUCUCGGGCUAAUACCCCGUGAAACUGACGGUACCUGCAGAAUAAGCACCGGCUAACUACGUGCCAGCAGCCGCGGUAAUACGUAGGGUGCAAGCGUUAAUCGGAAUUACUGGGCGUAAAGCGUGCGCAGGCGGUUCGGAAAGAAAGAUGUGAAAUCCCAGAGCUUAACUUUGGAACUGCAUUUUUAACUACCGGGCUAGAGUGUGUCAGAGGGAGGUGGAAUUCCGCGUGUAGCAGUGAAAUGCGUAGAUAUGCGGAGGAACACCGAUGGCGAAGGCAGCCUCCUGGGAUAACACUGACGCUCAUGCACGAAAGCGUGGGGAGCAAACAGGAUUA